CCAAUCUGGAAAUGCCAACUCCGCUCUGCGGCCGGGCCCCAGCCUAGAAGGAAACGGAAGUCCCUUCGUCUCCCGCAGGCGCACCCACCAGCCCGCCCAUCGCCCGGAGGAGCCCCGAGUCGGGGAACCCGAGGUGUGUCUGACCAUUACCUGGUCUCCUGACUGGCCUCUCUAUCCCUAGGACUGGUCCCCUGCAGUACAGCCUGCACAAGGCCAUAUUGAUUGACUGAUUUAUCAGAGAGAGAGAACCAACGUGCACAAGCAGGGGGAGUGGCAGGCAGAGGGAGAAGCAAACUCCCUGCUGAGCAAGGAGCCCGAUGCAGGACUCAAUCCCAGGACCUUGGGAUCAUGACCUGAGCUGAAGGCAGACGCCCAACUGACUGAGCCACCCAGAAAGAGAGAGCACAAGCUGGGAGAGCAGCAGAGGAAGAGGGAGAAGGAGGCUCCCCGCUAAGCAGGAAGCCUGAUGUGGGGCUCAACCUCAGGACCCUGGGACCAUGACCUGAGCUGAAGGCAGACACUUAACCAGCUGAGCCACCCAGAGAGCCAUCUGGCAAAAAAACUGAGGACCUCAGUCCAACAGCCAGCGAGGAACUGAAUCCUGCCAAAAACCAUGUGACUGAUCUUGGACAUGGAUCCUGUCCCAGCUGAGCCUUGAGAUAAGACUGCAGCCCCAGCUGAUAAUUGAUGGCAGCCUGUGAGAGACCCUGAGUGGACACAUUUAUGGAAAUCCUGAGAGAUUGUUAAGUAGAUGACUCAGUUAGGCCAUGCUAUUCCUGACCCGUAGAAACAGUGAGAUCAUAAAUGUGUGUUGCUUAAGCUAAGUUUUAUUUUUUUUAAAGGUGGAAUUCAAGAUUAAAAGCACUAAACAAUACAAAAAGGGGCAUAAAUUGUUCGGUCUUUAAUGAAGAGAUGAGCCAUAAACCUUUAUGUACUAAAUUGUUACAGCAGCUUAAGAUUUAAAACAAAACUCUUAGAAACACAAGAAGAUUUUGAUAAAAACCACAACCAUAAUGGGAGAUUAUAAUAUACUUCCUUCAAGGGCGCCUGGGUGGCUCAGUUGGUUAGGCGACUGCCUUCGGAUCAGGUCAUGGUCCCAGGGUCCUGGGAUCGAGUCCCGCAUCGGGCUCCCUGCUCUGCGGGGAGCCUGCUUCUCCCUCUCCCACUCCCCCUGCUUGUGUUCCCCCUCUCGCUGUGUCUCUCUCUGUCAAAUAAAUAAAUAAAACCUUUAAAAAAAAAAUAUAUAUAUAUAUAUAUAUAUACUUCCUUCAAAACUUAACUGAUCAAGUACACAAGAAAUAAGCUAGAAAAUAGAUAAUUUGGAGGCACCUGGAUAGCUCAGUCUUUUGAGCGACUAACUCUUGGUUUUGGCUCAGGUCAUGAUCUCAGGGUCAUGGGAUUGAGCCCCCUGUUGGGCUCCACGUUCAGCGAAGAGUUGGCUUGGGAUUCUCUCUCCUUCUUCUUCUGCCCCUCCCCCCUGCUCGUGCUUGCUAAGUAAGUAAGUAAGUAAAUAAAUAAAUAAAUAAAAUCUUAAAAAAAGAAAA
Molecule: long non-coding RNA, 1544 nt
Organism: Mirounga angustirostris (Northern elephant seal)
Lineage: Eukaryota; Metazoa; Chordata; Mammalia; Carnivora; Phocidae
Exons: 5
Source: RefSeq, a predicted model, not a curated record